This 428-nucleotide ribosomal RNA is filed under the name uncultured prokaryote. RNAcentral's name for it is "bacterial SSU rRNA". It matches the Rfam family "Bacterial small subunit ribosomal RNA", at positions 355 to 774 of the family's 1533-position model. The record is from RNAcentral.
UGAGGAAUCUUGCGCAAUGGGGGAAACCCUGACGCAGCAACGCCGCGUGAGUGAAGAAGGCCUUCGGGUCGUAAAGCUCUGUCAGAUGGGAAGAAAUGGAUGGGGGCUAAUAUCGUCCAUCCUUGACGGUACCAUCAGAGGAAGCACCGGCUAACUCCGUGCCAGCAGCCGCGGUAAUACGGGGGGUGCAAGCGUUGUUCGGAAUCAUUGGGCGUAAAGCGCGCGCAGGCGGCUUGGUAAGUCAGAUGUGAAAUCCCUGGGCUUAACCCAGGAAGUGCAUUUGAUACUGCCUAGCUUGAGUAAGGGAGAGGGAAGUGGAAUUCCUGGUGUAGAGGUGAAAUUCGUAGAUAUCAGGAGGAACACCGGUGGCGAAGGCGACUUCCUGGCCCUAUACUGACGCUGAGACGCGAGAGCGUGGGUAGCAAACA